GCCGGGCGUGGUGGCGCGUGCCUGGAGUCCCAGCUACUCAGGAGGCUGAGGUGGGAGGAUCGCUUGAGCCCAGGAGUUCUGGGCUGUAGUACGCUAUGCCUAUCUGGUGUCCGCACUAUGUUCAGCAUCAAUAUGGUGACCUCCCGGGAGCCAGGAGCCACCAGGUUGCCUAAGGAGGGGUGAACCGGCCCAGGUCGGAAAUGCAGCAGGUCAAAACUCCCGUGCUAAUCAGUAGUGGGAUCAUGCCUGUGAAUAGCCACUGCACUCCAGCCUGGGCAACAUAGCGAGACCCCCAUCUCU
Molecule: signal recognition particle RNA, 300 nt
Filed under: Aotus nancymaae (Ma's night monkey)
Lineage: Eukaryota; Metazoa; Chordata; Mammalia; Primates; Aotidae
Description: Metazoan signal recognition particle RNA (ENSANAG00000011574.1)
Rfam family: Metazoan signal recognition particle RNA
About the family: The signal recognition particle (SRP) is a universally conserved ribonucleoprotein. It is involved in the co-translational targeting of proteins to membranes. The eukaryotic SRP consists of a 300-nucleotide 7S RNA and six proteins: SRPs 72, 68, 54, 19, 14, and 9.
Source: RNAcentral